This 84-nucleotide microRNA precursor is filed under the name Bombyx mori (domestic silkworm). RNAcentral's name for it is "mir-2807 microRNA precursor family". It matches the Rfam family "mir-2807 microRNA precursor family". Lineage: Eukaryota; Metazoa; Arthropoda; Insecta; Lepidoptera; Bombycidae. The record is from Rfam by way of RNAcentral.
UUAACUCAAAUUUGUAUGGACUUGGAAUGUUUGCCUACGUUUGCCGCUAGGGUCGCUGUCCCAACUACAUACUAAUCUGAGUUA